GGGCGCGAGCGUUGUCCGGAAUCACUGGGCGUAAAGGGUGCGUAGGCGGGCCUUUAAGUCAGGGGUGAAAUCCUGGAGCUCAACUCCAGAACUGCCUUUGAUACUGAGGAUCUUGAGUUCGGGAGAGGUGAGUGGAACUGCGAGUGUAGAGGUGAAAUUCGUAGAUAUUCGCAAGAACACCAGUGGCGAAGGCGGCUCACUGGCCCGAUACUGACGCUGAGGCACGAAAGCGUGGGGAGCAAACAGG
Molecule: ribosomal RNA, 247 nt
Filed under: uncultured bacterium
Lineage: Bacteria
Description: partial 16S ribosomal RNA
Rfam family: Bacterial small subunit ribosomal RNA
Source: RNAcentral